This 460-nucleotide ribosomal RNA is filed under the name uncultured bacterium. RNAcentral describes it as "partial 16S ribosomal RNA". It matches the Rfam family "Bacterial small subunit ribosomal RNA", at positions 338 to 795 of the family's 1533-position model. The record is from RNAcentral.
CCUACGGGAGGCAGCAGUGAGGAAUAUUGGUCAAUGGGCGGAAGCCUGAACCAGCCAAGCCGCGUGAGGGAAGAAGGUACAGUGUAUCGUAAACCUCUUUUGUCAGGGAACAAAGGCGGGGACUAGUCUCCGGAUGAGGGUACCUGAAGAAAAAGGAUCGGCUAACUCCGUGCCAGCAGCCGCGGUAAUACGGAGGAUGCAAGCGUUAUCCGGAUUUAUUGGGUUUAAAGGGUGCGUAGGUGGUUGAUUAAGUCAGCGGUGAAAGUUUGUGGCUCAACCAUAAAAUUGCCGUUGAAACUGGUUGACUUGAGUGUAGUUGAGGUAGGCGGAAUGCGUGGUGUAGCGGUGAAAUGCAUAGAUAUCACGCAGAACACCGAUUGCGAAGGCAGCUUACUAAGCUAUAACUGACACUGAAGCACGAAAGCGUGGGGAUCAAACAGGAUGAGAUACCCGGGUAGUC